Phrynosoma platyrhinos (Desert horned lizard) is the source of this 72-nucleotide non-coding RNA. Lineage: Eukaryota; Metazoa; Chordata; Lepidosauria; Squamata; Phrynosomatidae. The record is from the annotation of a GenBank genome assembly.
GCCAGUGUGGCAUAGUGGUUUGAAUGUUGGAUUAGGACUCUGGAGACCAGGGUUCAAAUCCCAGUUCAGCCA